Molecule: ribosomal RNA, 492 nt
Filed under: uncultured bacterium
Lineage: Bacteria
Description: partial 16S ribosomal RNA
Rfam family: Bacterial small subunit ribosomal RNA
Source: RNAcentral
AGUGAACGCUGGCGGUAGGCCUAACACAUGCAAGUCGAACGGCAGCACAGUAAGAGCUUGCUCUUACGGGUGGCGAGUGGCGGACGGGUGAGGAAUACAUCGGAAUCUACUUUUUCGUGGGGGAUAACGUAGGGAAACUUACGCUAAUACCGCAUACGACCUACGGGGGAAAGCAGGGGAUCUUCGGACCUUGCGCGAUUGAAUGAGCCGAUGCCGGAUUAGCUGGUUGGCGGGGUAAAGGCCCACCAAGGCGGCGAUCCGUAGCUGGUCUGAGAGGAUGGUCGGCCGCACUGGAGGUGGGACACGGUCCAGGCUCCUACGGGAGGCAGCAGUGGGGUAUGUUGGACAAUGGGCGGAAGCCUGAUCCAGCCGUCCCGCGUGGGUGAAGAAGGCCUUCGGGUUGUAAAGCCCUUUUGUUGGGGAAGAAAAGCAGCAGGUUAAUACCCCGCUGUUCUGACGGUACCCAAAGAAUAAGCACCGGCUAACUUCGUG